UACGUAGGGGGCGAGCGUUGUCCGGAUUUAUUGGGCGUAAAGAGCGUGUAGGCGGUUCGGUAAGUCUGUCGUGAAAUCCUGAGGCUCAACCUCGGGCGUGCGAUGGAUACUGCCGGGCUAGAGGAUGGUAGAGGCGAGUGGAAUUCCUGGUGUAGCGGUGAAAUGCGCAGAUAUCAGGAGGAACACCAAUUGCGAAGGCAGCUCGCUGGGACGUAACUGACGCUGAGACGCGAAAGCGUGGGGAGCAAACAGG
RNAcentral lists this ribosomal RNA (253 nucleotides) under uncultured bacterium. Its description in RNAcentral is "partial 16S ribosomal RNA". It matches the Rfam family "Bacterial small subunit ribosomal RNA", at positions 524 to 776 of the family's 1533-position model. The record is from RNAcentral.